CUCCCGUGGCAUAUGGACAUUCCCAGGCUAGGGGUCUAAUCGGAGCUGUAGCCACCGGCCUACGCCAGAGCCACAGCAACGCAGGAUCCGAGCCGCGUCUGCAACCUACACCACAGCUCACGGCAACGCUGGAUCCUUAACCCACUGAGCAAGGCCAGGGAUCGAACGUGCAAGCUCAUGGUUCCUAGUUGGAUUCGUUAACCACUGAGCUACGGCGAGAACUCCUCAAGUCAAAGAUGUUUUAAUAUACAAUAUGAAUAUAUCUGUCUUUAUCUCAACACAAUUGUAAAACAUAACUUCUAAUGUUCUUUAAAUGGAGGAAGUGGCCCGCAAAGCCUACAGUGCCUGGGGACCAGGAAAGUCGUAACAGUGCCCUGUUUGUAAGUAUACCCGGGAGGCACCAGGAAGCAACAGGACGCAGAAGGGUAGCACUUGCUCAGCAGCGCCCCCUGUAGGCAGGGGUGUGCGAGCUGUAUUUCAGCAAGAGAGUAUAAUAAGCACGUUAUCAGAAAGCAAUGGCAGGACGCCAUCCUGCCCCUCAGCUAAUCGCGGUGGGAGCUAGGGUGCCAGUCAGCAGACAGGAUGCCCAGGGCUCAGCCCAGGCGCACCAGGCACCAGGUUUAGGACAGCGGCACUAGUCCCUGUUCAAGUGGUUGCUACGUGCAGGUCAGGAUAGGUUCUGGGAGUAGGAUGGUAGCCUUCAGGGUGAAGUUUUUUUCUGGGGCUGCAGGAAAGGCACGGAUGGUCAAAUCAUGAGCUUCCAGGCAUCAUCUGCUAGGAAGACCUAUUUGGACUAUUUAGCCUCGAAAUCACGUUAUGGGGUAUAGGAGUGAUCGCCUACGGGGCCUGAGUCAGGCCGAUGGGGUUAUGGGAAACACAGAAAUGAGGGGCAGAUACACCCCCAUGCACAGAGGCAGCAGCUCCUACACACAAAAUGUGGCUUGGGAAUGUUGUCAGCUACUCCUUUGGAAAGAAAGAAGUCUAUGAAACAACUACCUAAUGCACCCUGAAGGCCAAGUCUGGCAAAGUUGAGGCUGAGCUCCAGACCUCUUGACAAGGUCUGGGAUGACGGGGGUAUAAAUUCCAUUUCACGCUGGAGGGCUGUGGUUACAGGCCAGGUAUGCAGACGGACUCUAUAAUAUCUUGUCGUUUCUCUCUUGUUGCCGAGGGAGGAGAACGACAUUGAUAAAUCACCCUAUUAUAACUUGUGAUAAAAGCAGCAGGUACUUAGAGAACUGACCAACGGACACCUGAAAAAGACGAAUGGCUGCACGGAGACGGCCGAUCCAAGUUGGAAAUUAGUGCUACCCGCUGGGGGCAGAACAGGACAAAGCCGACAGGACAAAGAUAAUAUUCCAAUCUCAUGCGUGUCCAUCGAUUCGGGUCACCUGACAGUCUUCUCGGAAAAAAAGUCUCAGUGACGAACAAUGUACGUGAAAACACCCUGGAAACUAUGGCACAUCAUGCAGAUGUAAGGUAUUAUUAUGCCUUCACCCGCCGAAGUGGAAAAUUGAAGCAAUUCUCUCUACACUUUCAUGUUAGGCUCAAGUUUUGGGCUCUUUGGGCAGGACUUUUUUUUGGUUAAGUGGUCCAGAUAGUUACCGUUGUGAUAUAUAGAAGCAGCAUCAAGUGUGUUUUGAUUUCCUAAAACCUCCAGCUUUCAGGGGGACUCAGAAUGACCCUGCAACGAUUCGCCAAGUCCUGCAGAUAAGUCUCCUCUGCGGACAUGGGUUAGUUGGUACCGUUGACUGUGUGGGUUUCUGUGGUGGUGUAGUCCACACAUCACUUUCUUCUUCGGCCUCAAGGGCAAGUUUCCGCAGCCCACAUCCCUCUGGUCUGUAGAAAGUGCUGUCCUACAUUUUCCAUGACCUCAGAGUCAGGCCAAGGCGACCUGAAGGGGAGUCGUUAACCUCUUCAGUUGCCCCCUUGUGUCUGAUGAACCACAAAUAUCUAAAUAACCACAGUAGAGCAGCCUUGUGGGAAGCCACGGGGGGAACCAGGGCAAAACAUUCACAGCAGUUUUCUCUGGCAGUUGUCAGCAGCCAACAAGACCCAAACUGAACCCUUCAGCUGCCAACGGUUCUAAAUAAUACAUGUCCAUGUGCCUGAGAUAGAAGGUCCCUUGGGGGACCCAGUCAAGGGGGGAUCGUUUGGGUGAGAGGGACAGGGUGAAGGUGGGGAGAAAAAUGGACUUCAGAAAUCAUAAUAAGGAAAGGCACAGCUUAAUGGGAGGGACCCCUGCAUAGGUGUCUGGUGAAGAGCUGGUGAUACUCUGGAAACUACACAUGGCAUCCAAUACUUAGCUCGUUUUUCCUUCAAGAAAGCUCAUUCUCGCAUUCUGCAGCAGCUGCUCCUGUUUGGAUUAGGAGCAGUAAUAAGCCAUAUGGUAUGACAGAAAAGAAUCACACAUAUUUUCACAUGGACAAAUAUUAUCAUUCCAAGACAUAAACACGUCAACAGAAGUGUUUUUUCUCCUGGGAGCAAUACAGCUCCCGGUCCCGGUUACAGGAAAAUGACUCACUCUGGAGGUGCAAAAAUUACCUGCCAUGGUUAUUACUGGAACCUGCACCAUGGGUCUCCUCAAAUUUUUCUUUCCUCCUUUGUAGGAAGACAGACAGGAGGGGAAGAAGGAAGGGAGGGGAGGAAGGAAUGAAGGAACGACAGAAAGGAAGAGAGAAAAGAGAGAGAAUGGAAAGCGGGUCCCAGGGAGAGGAGAUGUGCUUUUCCUGGCUCCCCAUCUGCAUGGCAGCCCGACCCCAGAACUCUCCUGAGAAAGCAGCAUGCUUGCCGGGGAUUAGAACGCCAAAUACCUAGCAACCAGGCCCUGCAGGCAAAGGAGGAAAGACUGAUCAGGUCGCUUAGAGCUGUCAGCAAAGGCAUCUCCUGCUUUUAUUUCAAAUGUCUCAAGGACACAGCAUCCGUCACUGACCACACAUUUCUCAUAACCGUUUAAGCUAGAGCUUCCCUUUCUUAUCUUGGUCAUGUUAUUUCCCCCUGCUUUUCACGUUCCUUUAUUCUUCCUUGCCCCAGAACUUCCUAGAUAAACCGUUGCUCCUGAGAAUCUACCGCAUUCACUGCUCCUUGUUUUGUAGCCAACCCCAAACUCCUCUCCCUCAUCUCUCUUCCUGCUGAGCCUUGGUCCUUGUCCGCCAAGACUUUUCAAUGCCCGGUGUCUCAAGGCUCUUGGAGGCCCACAGAGAGGACCUGCCCAUGACUCAGGGAGCACAGCCAUGGCGCAGCGUUGGCAGGGAGGGAGAGAAAGGGCAUGUCUGCCAUUCAGGUCCGGUGGCCACCGUGGGUCAGCUCUGAUAAAGUGCAUGUGGUUAUCACGCACGAGGAAAGCCUCUGGCGGGAGUAGGCUGGAGAGAGGAGGAGGUGCCUGAGAAAGCGUGCCCCGAGAGCAUCCUAGGAAGCCCUGCCCUGACUGCAAUGCCAGGAUCGCUUCCACGGUAGCCGUUUGUGGCAGGUCCUCUCUCCCGCUUGUACAGUUCCUACAAGUGAACACACGGGGAUCGAUUUAUCCAGUGACCCUUUUCUCAUUCUCUAGAGUCUGGAUGACAGAUUAUUAAAAAAAAAAAAAAGACCCGAAUCCAGCAUGAACUGCUGCCUGCUUACCCUGUAGCUCAGGGGUCUUUAGCUCCUGAGCCAUCUGUGGCCAGGCUGGUGAGUGUAAAUGGAUGAAUCAUCAGGACUGAGAGACAGAAGGGGCUUCGGGGAACUAGAGGACAUAUGCAUUCAAAUUAAAACACACAGCAUCCCCAGCACGCUUGCGGCAGACCCAUCUGUGUCUUCAUUCAGCCUCGGGGCCACCAGGUUGUAAUCCUUGCUCAGAAACCCAUCACCCUCCUCCGCGGGGGCACCUCCCAGGUUCCUCAACUUGCUGCCUCCACAGGCAGCCCACUCCACCCGUUCUCCCUCACUCUCAGCUGUGCGUAUCUCCAGCCACACCUUUUGACCAGUGACAUAUCCAUGGUCCCCAGGGUAUCAUUUAUACAGUCCAGCUUUUUAACAGGCUGUGGGAGGUGUCUGUGCCCCUCAGAGCAGUCUCGUCUCUGGGAUAGGCAAUUCGGGGUGACCCCACCUGCCAGGAUGUGAGACAGUUUUGAGCUCUAGGCCCGUAGCUUUCAAAGUUGCUGGGUGAUGCUGAUGCUGCUGAUCCAGGGAGACCACAGCAUCAGCAUCAUCCAGAGACUAGCUGUAAGUGUAAAUUGAGGGGCCCUCCCCUAGAGCACUGCAUCAGAGACUCUGGGAGGAGAUGGACCCAGCAAUCUGUGUUUAAGCCAGCCCUCCAGCAGAUUCUGCUGCAGGCUCAAGUGUGAGCACCACAGUUGCUCUUGUCCUCACUUUGCAACGUGUUUCAGUUUGCCUGUAUCGCUCUUAAACUGCGUGCCUACAAGGGAACCUAUUUACAAAACAGAAAGAGACUCAUAGACAUAGAGAACAGACUUGUGGUUGCCAAGGGGGAGAGGGUAGAGAGGAGGAUGGAUGGGAGUUUGGGGUUAGGAGAUGCAAACUAUUCCAUUUAUUUUUUUCUUUUUAUUUAUUUUUUUGGGUCUUUUGUCUUUUUUAGGGCCGCACCUGCGGCAUAUGGAGGUUCCCAGGCUAGGGGUCGAAUCGGAGCUGUAGCUGCAAGCCUACGCCACAGCCAUAGCAACGCCAGAUCCAAGCCACGUCUGCGACCUACCUCACAGCUCACGGCAAUGCCAGAUCCUUAACCCACUGAGCAAGGCCAGGGAUCAAACCCGCAACCUCAUGGUUCCUAGUCGGAUUCAUUAACCACUGAGCCAUGACAGGAACUCCCUGAACUAUUCCGUUUAGAAUGGAUAAGCAAUGAGGUCCUGCUGUACCCCACAGGGAACUAUAUCCAGUCUCUUGGGAUAGAACACGAUGUAAGAAAAUAUGAGAAAAAGAAUGCAUAUAUAUCUAUGACUGGGUCACUUUGUGGUACAGCAGAAAUUGGCCACUUUGUAAAUCAACUAUACUUUAAUUAAAGAAAAAA
Molecule: long non-coding RNA, 4999 nt
Filed under: Sus scrofa (pig)
Lineage: Eukaryota; Metazoa; Chordata; Mammalia; Artiodactyla; Suidae
Description: lncRNA (ENSSSCG00000054300.1)
Source: RNAcentral